Molecule: ribosomal RNA, 375 nt
Filed under: uncultured organism
Description: bacterial SSU rRNA
Rfam family: Bacterial small subunit ribosomal RNA
Source: RNAcentral
CGUAGGGUGCAAGCGUUGUCCGGAAUUAUUGGGCGUAAAGAGCUCGUAGGCGGUUUGUCGCGUCUGCUGUGAAAACUCGGGGCUUAACCCCGGGCCUGCAGUGGGUACGGGCAGACUAGAGUGCGGUAGGGGGAGACUGGAAUUCCUGGUGUAGCGGUGAAAUGCGCAGAUAUCAGGAGGAACACCGGUGGCGAAGGCGGGUCUCUGGGCCGUAACUGACGCUGAGGAGCGAAAGCGUGGGGGAGCGAACAGGAUUAGAUACCCUGGUAGUCCACGCCGUAAACGUUGGGCGCUAGGUGUGGGGCUCUUUCCACGAGUUCCGUGCCGCAGCAAACGCAUUAAGCGCCCCGCCUGGGGAGUACGGCCGCAAGGCUA